This 164-nucleotide ribosomal RNA is filed under the name uncultured bacterium. RNAcentral describes it as "partial 16S ribosomal RNA". It matches the Rfam family "Bacterial small subunit ribosomal RNA", at positions 355 to 511 of the family's 1533-position model. The record is from RNAcentral.
UAGGGAAUCUUCCACAAUGGGCGAAAGCCUGAUGGAGCAACGCCGCGUGUGUGACGAAGGGUUUCGGCUCGUAAAACACUGUUGUAAGAGAAGAAUGACAUUGAGAGUAACUGUUCAAUGUGUGACGGUAUCUUACCAGAAAGGAACGGCUAAAUACGUGUCAG